UGACUNGAGUGCAGAAGGGGAGAGUGGAAUNCCAUGUGUAGCGGUGAAAUGCGUAGAUAUAUGGAGGANCACCAGUGGCGAAAGCGGCUCUCUGGUCUGUCACUGACGCUGAGGCUNGAAAGCGUGGGUAGCGAACAGGAUUAGAUACCCUGGUAGUCCACGCCGUAAACGAUGAGUGCUAGGUGUUAGGCCCUUUCCGGGGCUUAGUGCCGGAGCUAACGCAAUAAGCACUCCGCCUGGGGAGUACGACCGCAAGGUUGAAACUCAAAGGAAUUGACGGGGGCCCGCACAAGCGGUGGAGCAUGUGGUUUAAUUCGAAGCAACGCGAAGAACCUUACCAGGUCUUGACAUCCCGAUGCUAUUCUUAGAGAUAGGAAGUUACUUCGGUACAUCGGAGACAGGUGGUGCAUGGUUGUCGUCAGCUCGUGUCGUGAGAUGUUGGGUUAAGUCCCGCAACGAGCGCAACCCUUAUUGUUAGUUGCCAUCAUUAAGUUGGGCACUCUAGCGAGACUGCCGGUAAUAAACCGGAGGAAGGUGGGGAUGACGUCAAAUCAUCAUGCCCCUUAUGACCUGGGCUACACACGUGCUACAAUGGUCGGUACAACGAGUUGCGAGCCGGUGACGGCAAGCUAAUCUCUGAAAGCCGAUCUCAGUUCGGAUUGGAGGCUGCAACUCGCCUCCAUGAAGUCGGAAUCGCUAGUAAUCGCGGAUCAGCACGCCGCGGUGAAUACGUUCCCGGGCCUUGUACACACCGCCCGUCACACCACGAGGGUUUGUAACACCCGAAGUCGGUGAGGUAACCUUUUAGGGGCCAGCCGC
Molecule: ribosomal RNA, 819 nt
Filed under: uncultured bacterium
Lineage: Bacteria
Description: bacterial SSU rRNA
Rfam family: Bacterial small subunit ribosomal RNA
Source: RNAcentral